This 914-nucleotide ribosomal RNA is filed under the name uncultured crenarchaeote. RNAcentral's name for it is "bacterial SSU rRNA". It matches the Rfam family "Archaeal small subunit ribosomal RNA", at positions 1 to 922 of the family's 1478-position model. The record is from RNAcentral. Lineage: Archaea; Thermoproteati; Thermoproteota.
UUCCGGUUGAUCCCGCCGGACCUGACUGCUAUCGGAUUGAUACUAAGCCAUGCGAGUCAUUGUAGCAAUACAAGGCAUACGGCUCAGUAACGCGUAGUCAACCUAACCUAUGGACGGGAAUAACCUCGGGAAACUGAGAAUAAUGCCCGAUAGAACACUAUACCUGGAAUGGUUUGUGUUCCAAAUGAUUUAUCGCCAUAGGAUGGGACUGCGGCCUAUCAGUUUGUUGGUGAGGUAAUGGCCCACCAAGACUAUUACAGGUACGGGCUCUGAGAGGAGUAGCCCGGAGAUGGGUACUGAGACACGGACCCAGGCCCUAUGGGGCGCAGCAGGCGAGAAAACUUUGCAAUGUGCGAAAGCACGACAAGGUUAAUCCGAGUGAUUUGUGCUAAACGAAUCUUUUGUUAGUCCUAGAAACACUAACGAAUAAGGGGUGGGCAAGUUCUGGUGUCAGCCGCCGCGGUAAAACCAGCACCUCAAGUGGUCAGGAUGAUUAUUGGGCCUAAAGCAUCCGUAGCCGGCUCUGUAAGUUUUCGGUUAAAUCUGUACGCUUAACGUACAGGCUGCCGGGAAUACUGCAGAGCUAGGGAGUGGGAGAGGUAGACGGUACUCGGUAGGACGUGGUAAAAUGCUUUGAUCUAUCGAUGACCACCUGUGGCGAAGGCGGUCUACCAGAACACGUCCGACGGUGAGGGAUGAAAGCUGGGGGAGCAAACCGGAUUAGAUACCCGGGUAGUCCCAGUUGUAAACUAUGCAAACUCAGUGAUGCAUUGGCUUGUGGCCAAUGCAGUGCUGCAGGGAAGCCGUUAAGUUUGCCGCCUGGGAAGUACGUACGCAAGUAUGAAACUUAAAGGAAUUGGCGGGGGAGCACCACAAGGGGUGAAGCCUGCGGUUCAAUUGGAUUCAACGCCGGG